UCUCUGGUGGCUCAGAUGGUAAAGCGUCUGCCUGCAAUGCAGGAGACCCAGGUUCGAUCCCUGGGUCGGGAA
Molecule: transfer RNA, 72 nt
Filed under: Bos taurus (domestic cattle)
Lineage: Eukaryota; Metazoa; Chordata; Mammalia; Artiodactyla; Bovidae
Also listed under: 2 other names
Rfam family: tRNA
About the family: Transfer RNA (tRNA) molecules are approximately 80 nucleotides in length. Their secondary structure includes four short double-helical elements and three loops (D, anti-codon, and T loops).
Source: Rfam by way of RNAcentral